Lolium rigidum is the source of this 691-nucleotide long non-coding RNA. RefSeq lists it as uncharacterized. NCBI's taxonomy places the organism in Eukaryota, Viridiplantae, Streptophyta, Magnoliopsida, Poales, Poaceae. The transcript is spliced from 3 exons. The record is from RefSeq and is a predicted model, not a curated record.
GUUGUUUUCCUCUCUGCUUGUCCAGAUAGUAAUAACUCUAUCUCGUUUUCUAAUCCGCGUUCGUGUCUUCUUCAAUUUUGCCAGGGAAAGUUGGAGAAGUUGGCCAAGGCUGAAUCCGAACUCAGCAAUCAUGUAUUUUUUUGUGUUAUGUCGAUGGUAUCAACAAUGGUUUCGGUGAGACCAACACCUAAGUGGUUGAUGCUGUGGCGAUGACGAUGCCAACCUAAUCUAGAUGGUGUUGGUGUUACGUCGGUGGUAUCAACAAUGCUAUCAUCAACAGGAGGUAGCUGAAACCUGCAGAGCCUGAUGCAUCCAUCACUUGGAAGGAAACAAGGAAAUAUAUAUGGAGGAGGGUAAUAGACUCGGAAGCAUGUCAGAACUUUCAUCAUGUGAUGACGUGAUGGCGCUCCACCGGACUCACUUGCCGACUGGCCUAUGUUGCCGCUUUGGAGUCUAGUGCAACCUGAGAAGCUGUGUUGGCUCUGGCGUUGCAUGCUGGCCAUAGGCGGCCUUAUGUGUGAUUUAAGUUGCUUAUAAUGCUGAGUGGUGGUUGACGUUUGUUUCAUCCAUUUUUUUGUGGUGGGAGUGUCUUUGGUUAGACCAGCGAUUCUGUUUGAACUGUCACAUGAGCUGCUGUGAUGUGUGCAUUAUAUUGUAACAUCCAUUUGAUAUGUGACUGAAUGGCCAAAUA